UUAGACCUCAGAUCAGACAAGACUACCCGCUGAACUUAA
Molecule: ribosomal RNA, 39 nt
Filed under: Trichoplax sp. H4
Lineage: Eukaryota; Metazoa; Placozoa; Uniplacotomia; Trichoplacea; Trichoplacidae
Description: partial 28S ribosomal RNA
Source: RNAcentral